This 497-nucleotide ribosomal RNA is filed under the name uncultured bacterium. Its description in RNAcentral is "partial 16S ribosomal RNA". It matches the Rfam family "Bacterial small subunit ribosomal RNA", at positions 28 to 523 of the family's 1533-position model. The record is from RNAcentral.
GAUGAACGCUGGCGGCGUGCUUAACACAUGCAAGUCGAACGAAGCAUUUAGAACAGAUUAUUUCGGUAUGAAGUUCUUUAUGACUGAGUGGCGGACGGGUGAGUAACGCGUGGGUAACCUGCCUUGUACUGGGGGAUAGCAGCUGGAAACGGCUGGUAAUACCGCAUAAGCGCACGGUGCUGCAUGGCACAGUGUGAAAAACUCCGGUGGUAUAAGAUGGACCCGCGUCUGAUUAGCUAGUUGGUGAGAUAACAGCCCACCAAGGCGACGAUCAGUAGCCGACCUGAGAGAGUGACCGGCCACAUUGGGACUGAGACACGGCCCAGACUCCCACGGGAGGCAGCAGUGGAGAAUAUUGCACAAUGGAGGAAACUCUGAUGCAGCGACGCCGCGUGAGUGAAGAAGUAAUUCGUUAUGUAAAGCUCUACCAGCAGGGAAGAUAGUGACGGUACCUGACUAAGAAGCUCCGGCUAAAUACGUGCCAGCCGCCGCGGUAA